Long non-coding RNA from Tachysurus fulvidraco (yellow catfish), 808 nucleotides. RefSeq lists it as uncharacterized. NCBI's taxonomy places the organism in Eukaryota, Metazoa, Chordata, Actinopteri, Siluriformes, Bagridae. The transcript is spliced from 3 exons. The record is from RefSeq and is a predicted model, not a curated record.
CUUAAGCUUAAACUGGAAGCUCUUAUGUAAAGUUGCGUUCUUAAGUUUGAUUCAAAGUAAAAGAUAAACUUAUUUAGAAAAUAACUUUUUUGCUCUUCAUUAAACUUCUUUUAUCAGAGAGAUUUCAGCACACAGGACUGAUAAAGCUCCAGUGUAUCAUAUCUGUAAAGUCAUGUGACUCGUCACACCAUCAGAAUAGACAAGAAUUCACUGUGAGCUUCACACCUCAUUACAGCUAAUGGACCAAUCAAAUCAGUCCACAGCUUCAAAACAUCCAAUCAGGUGUGAGUCUGGACCUGGUUUUGUACUGAACACACAAGUUCAUUAGAUCACUUGGUGUGAACAGGAACGAUGAUCAGACUCUUUGUCGCUCUUUGUGCUCUUUUUUCUCUCUUCACAGCUGUGAAAACUUCUGACAUCAAGGAGAUUGACGUGAUAACAGUAAAGAAUGGAGAAGAUGUAACUAUGAAGUGUAGCAUUAGCAGUGACACAAAGAAAGAGAAUGUAGUUUGGUACAGACAGAUUUCAGGAAAAUUACCUCAGCAUUUUGCAAAACCAUACACGAACGAAUUGGGCUACAGAUUUAGUGAAGGAUUUAAUGAUGCUCGUUUCAGUAUUAGUGUAAAUGACAAUACAUUUGAUCUCAAUAUUAAAAAAACAAGAGAAGAUGAUGAAGGAGAAUAUUUCUGUGGAGAAAUGGAAGGAAGUGCAGUGACGUUCACAUCUGGAACACGUCUGCAAUUUAAAGAUAAAGAGACGACACACUGUCCAACACUUGGAACACCCAUGUGCAAUGAAAUGAGUAAGA